GGAAACGGAGAACAAAUCCCGAUGUACAGGAAGGAGGCAUCUUUUUUCUGUGAAACAUCCUUUAGGGGAUGGGGCGCGGAUGGACCUGCGGUGCAUUAGUUGGUUGGCGGGAUAAAGGCCCACCAAGACGAUGAUGCAUAGCCGGCCUGAGAGGGCGGACGGCCACAUUGGGACUGAGACACGGCCCAGACUCCUGCGGGAGGCAGCAGUAGGGAAUUUUCGUCAAUGGGCGCAAGCCUGAACGAGCGAUGCCGCGUGAGUGAAGAAGGCCUUCGGGUCGUAAAGCUCUGUUGCGGGGGAAAAAAGGCAGCAUCAGGAAAUGGGUGCUGACUGAUGGUGCCCCGCCAGAAAGUCACGGCUAACUACGUGCCAGCAGCCGCGGUAAUACGUAGGUGGCGAGCGUUAUCCGGAAUGAUUGGGCGUAAAGGGUGCGCAGGCGGUCCUGCAAGUCUGGAGUGAAACGCAUGAGCUCAACUCAUGCAUGGCUUUGGAAACUGGAGGACUGGAGAGCAGGAGAGGGCGGUGGAACUCCAUGUGUAGCGGUAAAAUGCGUAGAUAUAUGGAAGAACACCAGUGGCGAAGGCGGCCGCCUGGCCUGUUGCUGACGCUGAGGCACGAAAGCGUGGGGAGCAAAUAGGAUUAGAUACCCUAGUAGUCCACGCCGUAAACGAUAAGGACCAAGUGUUGGGG
This 690-nucleotide ribosomal RNA is filed under the name uncultured bacterium. RNAcentral describes it as "bacterial SSU rRNA". It matches the Rfam family "Bacterial small subunit ribosomal RNA", at positions 152 to 828 of the family's 1533-position model. The record is from RNAcentral.